This 440-nucleotide ribosomal RNA is filed under the name uncultured bacterium. Its description in RNAcentral is "partial 16S ribosomal RNA". It matches the Rfam family "Bacterial small subunit ribosomal RNA", at positions 338 to 795 of the family's 1533-position model. The record is from RNAcentral.
CCUACGGGUGGCAGCAGUGGGGAAUAUUGCACAAUGGGGGAAACCCUGAUGCAGCGACGCCGCGUGAGUGAAGAAGUAACUCGUUAUGUAAAGCUCUAUCAGCAGGGAAGACAAUGACGGUACCUGAGUAAGAAGCCCCGGCUAACUAAGUGCCAGCUGCCGAGGUACUACGUAGGGGGCAAGCGUUAUCCGGAUUUACUGGGUGUACAGGGAGCGUAGACGGCUGUGCAAGUCUGGAGUGAAAGGCGGGGGCUCAACCCCCGGACUGCUGUGGAAACUGUCCGGCUGGAGUGCAGGAGAGGUAAGUGGAAUUCCUGGUGUAGCGGUGAAAUGCGUAGAUAUUAGGAGGAACACCAGUGGCGAAGGCGGCUUGCUGGACUGUAACUGACGUUGAGGCUCGAAAGCGUGGGGAGCAAACAGGAUUAGAUACCCUUGUAGUC